UUAGCGGAUGACUUGUGGCUGGGGGUGAAAGGCCAAUCAAACCGGGAGAUAGCUGGUUCUCCCCGAAAGCUAUUUAGGUAGCGCCUCGUGAAUUCAUCUCCGGGGGUAGAGCACUGUUUCGGCAAGGGGGUCAUCCCGACUUACCAACCCGAUGCAAACUGCGAAUACCGGAGAAUGUUAUCACGGGAGACACACGGCGGGUGCUAACGUCCGUCGUGAAGAGGGAAACAACCCAGACCGCCAGCUAAGGUCCCAAAGUCAUGGUUAAGUGGGAAACGAUGUGGGAAGGCCCAGACAGCCAGGAUGUUGGCUUAGAAGCAGCCAUCAUUUAAAGAAAGCGUAAUAGCUCACUGGUCGAGUCGGCCUGCGCGGAAGAUGUAACGGGGCUAAACCAUGCACCGAAGCUGCGGCAGCGACACUAUGUGUUGUUGGGUAGGGGAGCGUUCUGUAAGCCUGUGAAGGUGGCCUGUGAGGGUUGCUGGAGGUAUCAGAAGUGCGAAUGCUGACAUAAGUAACGAUAAAGCGGGUGAAAAGCCCGCUCGCCGGAAGACCAAGGGUUCCUGUCCAACGUUAAUCGGGGCAGGGUGAGUCGACCCCUAAGGCGAGGCCGAAAGGCGUAGUCGAUGGGAAACAGGUUAAUAUUCCUGUACUUGGUGUUACUGCGAAGGGGGGACGGAGAAGGCUAUGUUGGCCGGGCGACGGUUGUCCCGGUUUAAGCGUGUAGGCUGGUUUUCCAGGCAAAUCCGGAAAACCAAGGCUGAGGCGUGAUGA
RNAcentral lists this ribosomal RNA (771 nucleotides) under Escherichia coli. RNAcentral describes it as "partial 23S ribosomal RNA". It matches the Rfam family "Bacterial large subunit ribosomal RNA", at positions 797 to 1569 of the family's 2925-position model. Lineage: Bacteria; Pseudomonadati; Pseudomonadota; Gammaproteobacteria; Enterobacterales; Enterobacteriaceae. The record is from RNAcentral.